This 1094-nucleotide ribosomal RNA is filed under the name Latilactobacillus sakei. RNAcentral's name for it is "bacterial SSU rRNA". It matches the Rfam family "Bacterial small subunit ribosomal RNA", at positions 44 to 1098 of the family's 1533-position model. The record is from RNAcentral. Lineage: Bacteria; Bacillati; Bacillota; Bacilli; Lactobacillales; Lactobacillaceae.
GGGGCUAUACAUGCAAGUCGAACGCACUCUCGUUUAGAUUGAAGGAGCUUGCUCCUGAUUGAUAAACAUUUGAGUGAGUGGCGGACGGGUGAGUAACACGUGGGUAACCUGCCCUAAAGUGGGGGAUAACAUUUGGAAACAGAUGCUAAUACCGCAUAAAACCUAACACCGCAUGGUGUAGGGUUGAAAGAUGGUUUCGGCUAUCACUUUAGGAUGGACCCGCGGUGCAUUAGUUAGUUGGUGAGGUAAAGGCUCACCAAGACCGUGAUGCAUAGCCGACCUGAGAGGGUAAUCGGCCACACUGGGACUGAGACACGGCCCAGACUCCUACGGGAGGCAGCAGUAGGGAAUCUUCCACAAUGGACGAAAGUCUGAUGGAGCAACGCCGCGUGAGUGAAGAAGGUUUUCGGAUCGUAAAACUCUGUUGUUGGAGAAGAAUGUAUCUGAUAGUAACUGAUCAGGUAGUGACGGUAUCCAACCAGAAAGCCACGGCUAACUACGUGCCAGCAGCCGCGGUAAUACGUAGGUGGCAAGCGUUGUCCGGAUUUAUUGGGCGUAAAGCGAGCGCAGGCGGUUUCUUAAGUCUGAUGUGAAAGCCUUCGGCUCAACCGAAGAAGUGCAUCGGAAACUGGGAAACUUGAGUGCAGAAGAGGACAGUGGAACUCCAUGUGUAGCGGUGAAAUGCGUAGAUAUAUGGAAGAACACCAGUGGCGAAGGCGGCUGUCUGGUCUGUAACUGACGCUGAGGCUCGAAAGCAUGGGUAGCAAACAGGAUUAGAUACCCUGGUAGUCCAUGCCGUAAACGAUGAGUGCUAGGUGUUGGAGGGUUUCCGCCCUUCAGUGCCGCAGCUAACGCAUUAAGCACUCCGCCUGGGGAGUACGACCGCAAGGUUGAAACUCAAAGGAAUUGACGGGGGCCCGCACAAGCGGUGGAGCAUGUGGUUUAAUUCGAAGCAACGCGAAGAACCUUACCAGGUCUUGACAUCCUUUGACCACUCUAGAAAUAGAGUUUCCCUUCGGGGACAAAGUGACAGGUGGUGCAUGGUUGUCGUCACCUCCGGUCCGGAAAUGUUGGGUUAAGUCCCGCACCGGGCG